RNAcentral lists this ribosomal RNA (843 nucleotides) under Gregarina polymorpha. Its description in RNAcentral is "bacterial SSU rRNA". It matches the Rfam family "Eukaryotic small subunit ribosomal RNA", at positions 628 to 1571 of the family's 1831-position model. Lineage: Eukaryota; Apicomplexa; Conoidasida; Eugregarinorida; Gregarinidae. The record is from RNAcentral.
CCGUAGUUAGAUAUCAAUUGGUUUGAAAGCAACCUGCAAAGGAUGCAACUUAAACCUUUAACUUGUUACCUUGAGAAAAUGGAGGCGCCUAAGGCACGCGAUAUGUGUGAACUAUCUAGCAUGGAAUAGCACAUUUAAACUGUCAAUAAACAUGCCGAAUGUUUGUUGAUUAGGAUGAUUGAUAAGGGCAGUCGGGGACACUUGUACUUGCUGGAGAGAGGUGAAAUUCUGAGACCCGGCAAAGACACUCAAAUGCGAAAGCUUUUGUCCAGAAUGUUCCUGUUAAUCAAGGACUAAAGUUGGGGGAUCGAAGGCGAUUGGAUACCGUCGUAGUCCCAACCGUAAACCAUGCCGACUGAUCGUUGGUUAGAAGUCUGUAUUCUUUUCAGCGUUCGAAAGAAAUUGAAGUUUUUGGGCCCUGGGGGGAGUAUGGUUGCAAGACUGAAACUUAAAGGAAUUGACGGAAGAGCACCACCAGGAGUGGAGCUUGCGGCUUAAUUCGACUCAACGCGUGAAAUUUUACCAGGUCCGGACAUAGUUAUGAUUGACAAACUAAAAGAUUUUUCUAAAUUCUAUGGGUGGUGGUGCAUGGCCGUUCUUAGUCGGUGAGGUGACUUGUCUGGUUUAUUCCGAUAACGGACGAGACCUUGACCUUUAAUUCUCGACUGUUAUCUUAAAUGGAAGAGUCUUAAAGGGACUCAAUGUUCCAAACAUUGGGAAGAUCAAGGCAAUAACAGGUCUGUGAUGCCCUUAGAUAACCUGGGCUGCACGUGUGCUACAAUAACAUGCACAACGAGUACCAAUAUCGAAACGAUGUUGUGAAUCUUCAAAGCGUGUUAAGGU